Molecule: ribosomal RNA, 253 nt
Filed under: uncultured bacterium
Lineage: Bacteria
Description: partial 16S ribosomal RNA
Rfam family: Archaeal small subunit ribosomal RNA
Source: RNAcentral
UACCAGCACCCCGAGUGGUCGGGACGUUUAUUGGGCCUAAAGCAUCCGUAGCCGGUUCUACAAGUCUUCCGUUAAAUCCAACUGCUUAACAGGUGGGCUGCGGAAGAUACUAUAGAGCUAGGAGGCGGGAGAGGCAAGCGGUACUCGAUGGGUAGGGGUAAAAUCCGUUGAUCCAUUGAAGACCACCAGUGGCGAAGGCGGCUCACUGGCUCAUUACUGACGCUCAGGCGCGACAGCGUGGGGAUCAAACAGG